Musca domestica (house fly) is the source of this 856-nucleotide long non-coding RNA. RefSeq lists it as uncharacterized. The transcript has 3 exons. The record is from RefSeq and is a predicted model, not a curated record. NCBI's taxonomy places the organism in Eukaryota, Metazoa, Arthropoda, Insecta, Diptera, Muscidae.
CAAGUGAUCAUUCCAUUAGAAAAAAAAAUACUUUUUUCGAAGUAUAUAUGAAAUUUUGAUAAGUGUUUUUUAAGACAUAAUAAGAGUUGAUCUGCUUUGUAAAAUCAAUUAAAAUUUUAACAAUCCGUGUUCAUAAUUAAGUGCGUGAUACGCCAAAUUUCUACGGAGGUGUGGUUUUAAUGAAAAUAAAAGACAACUCGUACAUCGUGAUCUAUCACAUACUAACACAAACUUCUUUAUCACCCAAUUCUCAAAAUUCCAAAACUGAGAUCGAUUUUACAUUCCUCGUUUGCGGCGAAAUAUCAUAAGCCGUGAAUGAGGAUUUCCGUUUUUGUUGCUGGACAAAUUAUAUUUUAUUACAAAACCAUACCAAAAUUCACUUCCGUUGGCUAAAAAUACUUUUGAAGAAAAAGGUUAUGUUGGUUUACUACCUACAUUGCGGAUUGGGAGAAACCAACUAUACAUAAUUUUGCCUUCAAAGACAAAUACAAUUAAAGUAUAAUACGAGUGUACCUAAUCAAAUCCACUACGGUGUAACAUAAACACAUGUUGAAAUCCAGAACUUGUGGCGUUUCUACAACAAAGCCCAUCACCAAUACUUGUACGUGCUAGCUAAUAACCAAUCAUUGGACAGCAGGAAAGCUUAUGGGUAACAUCCACUAGUAAAACCUGCGCUGAAGCCAUCCUUGCCAACACAGCUCAGUAGCCCAGUCGGCUAAGGGGCACAUCUAGUGAGCAGCAAUCAUAGCAACGUGGGUUCAAAUCCCGCCACUGACACAAAAUACUUUAUUUCUAAAAAUUUAAAUUACCACGAGUUUCAUAAGUAUCAAACACAGAAAAAUUGAGUUCCUUCAAA